AUGGUAAUUGUGGAUGAGCUUCCAUUUGCAAUUGUUGAGAAGCCAGGAUUUAGAAGGUUUGUGGCAAAGGCUUGUCCUCGUUUCAAUGUCCCAUCCAGGAGGACGGUUACUAGAGAUUGUGUCCGUAUUCAUUAUAGGGAGAAAGUCAAGCUAAAGAAAUUCUUCAAAGAAUCUUGUGAAAGAGUUUGUGUAACUACCGACACAUGGACAUCUUCCCAAAAGCAGAAUUUUAUGUGUGUGACAGCCCAUUUUAUUGACAAUGACUGGGUUCUGCAUAAGUGGAUCAUUGGGUUUUUCUUGGUGAGGGGUCAUAAGGGGGAAGACAUUGGGAAGAACCUGGAGAAGUGUUUGGUUGAGUGGGGCAUAGAUAAGGUGUUUUCAGUAACAGUUGACAAUGCCUCACCAAAUGAUGGAGCGGUAAGCUACAUAAAGAGGAUCAUGAACAGUGCCAAUGCAAGCAUAGGGAGAGGAGAAUAUAUGCACAUGAGAUGUGCUGCUCACAUUCUGAACUUGAUAGUUACCGAUGGGCUAAAACAGUUGGAUAUCUCGGUGAAGCGAGUCUGUGCUGCAGUCAAGUUUGUUAAGAAUUCUCCAGCUAGAAUUACUAAGUUCAAGAAGUGUGCUGAAUUAGAGAAGUUGGCAAAUAAAGGUUUCUUGUCACUUGAUGUAUGCACUAGAUGGAACUCCACAUUCUUAAUGCUGAAAGCUGCAGCCACAUAUGAGAAGGUGUUCGUGAGGUAUGAAGAAGAGGACCCAUACUUUGCAAUUGAGCUAAAUGGCGACAAAAUGCCAGGAGUGCCUCAACCAGAAGAUUGGGAUAAUGCUUCAAAGAUGGCAGAGUUUCUUGAGCAUUUCUAUAAGCUUACCCUUCGUGUUUCAGCCUCAAAUCAUUGCACAUCUCACAUCUUCUUCCAUCAAAUUGCUGAUAUCAUUGUCUUGCUGAGGGCUUGGUGUGGAAGUGGAGACCCUUUGCGUAGAGAGAUGGGAGAAAGGAUGCUGGACAAGUACAACAAGUAUUGGGCAGAUCACAAGAGCUUCAACAUCUUGAUCUUUGUGGCCGCUGCUCUUGAUCCAAGAUACAAGUUGUCAAAUUACAUCAAGAUUGCAACUUUUGAAAUGUUUGGGCAGAUCAAUGGAGAGGAAGUGUGGACAAAAAUGAAUACAACUCUUACAAAUCUGUUCCAAGAGUAUUUUAAGUUAUAUGGUCCAACUGAGCAAGAAGUGCAGCCUGAUGAUGCACCUAGCUUUGAAGAGGACAGCAGCGAAAGCUUGAUGAGUUCCUUGAUUGCAAAGAGAAUGAGAAUGAAUGACUGUGGAAUCAGCAUUAGCCCUUCGAAGUCUGAACUUGAAAAGUAUCUUACAGAGGAUAAUGAAGCAAAUAGCAGCUAA
RNAcentral lists this ribosomal RNA (1389 nucleotides) under Triticum aestivum (bread wheat). Its description in RNAcentral is "partial small subunit ribosomal RNA". Lineage: Eukaryota; Viridiplantae; Streptophyta; Magnoliopsida; Poales; Poaceae. The record is from RNAcentral.